AAAAGCCUGGUCUGACAGCUAAGGUUCCUGAGAACUCCAACAGAGACUCUUCAACUCCAGCUCACUGAUUCCAGGUACCCCAACUCUGGACAGAGGCUCCAGCGGGGAUCCAAAGCACAAUGAGGAAAUGCCUAGGGCCUUGCCUACCAGACCAGAGCUGCCUUUCAGGGAAACGUCUCUCAAAAAUCCAAAAUGAAAGAUCCCAGCUCAAAAGAAACACACUGAGCAGAGAUGUGCCUGGUGUCAUGGGCUGAAGGCAGGGCCCCGGGAUGAAGGUUACAGGAAGCUCCCUGGAUCCCUCUCUCAACAAGCCAGAUGUCACUCAAAGCCAGAAUUUAUUCUUGCUCUGCGAUGGAGGUUCAGGAACCUUCUAUCAGGAAGAGGAUAUCCCCUCCUCAUAAUCUCUAAAGAUGGAAGGGAGAAGCAGACUCUGUCAGGCAUAAACUGAUGAGACCAAGCCAAACACAGCCUGAGUCCUCGCCGCCCACGGAACACCCAAGGCACUGUCUCCUGGCCUUCCUCCGUGAGCCUUCGGCCAUCUCCUGUCACCCACAGGUGACUUCUCACUCCACAGCGCUUGCCACUCUCUCCGCUGCAAGCCCUCAAGGGCGGGAACUGUCACAUUUCUCUCUCAGGCAUCGGUGGAAACUGCCCCAUGCUUGUCACAUGCAUUUGUGGAAUUAAAUUAAAUCAUCGAGUUCAGAGGCAUCUCAGA
Apodemus sylvaticus (European woodmouse) is the source of this 715-nucleotide long non-coding RNA. RefSeq lists it as uncharacterized. NCBI's taxonomy places the organism in Eukaryota, Metazoa, Chordata, Mammalia, Rodentia, Muridae. The record is from RefSeq and is a predicted model, not a curated record. The transcript has 3 exons.